GGCUCGUUACAGAACAAAUGAGACUUCCUCAUUCCUGAUGAAGGAAGCUUUGAUUAAAACUCAAGAAGGAUCAAUGAGGCCCGAACGACUGUCAUCAAGUCUCCACAUGGGCACAUACAUUGAAUAAUCGGUUUCCUCAUGGAUGAAAAAUCUUUUGACCCGACAAAUAAAGCCGGUGCAAUCGUCGACAGACUUGGCCGAAUGCUCCCUCGUCGUUUCGUACUUCUCGAUUGCACUUGUCACAAAAGCAGUGAGAAUAUUUAGUCGUUCGAGCGCAGAAUCCUCUGUGGAAAAGAACGGAAGGAACAGAUUAACAAAAAAACGCACUUGAAAACAGUGUCCGGCCGUCGUCCGAGUCAUCAGAAUCAUCGUUGCUUUCAACUUUUUUAACGAUUUCCAAUUUCGGAAUGAAAAGAAGGAGACAGAUGAGAGCAAUGAAUUUAACAAUCAUCUUGAAAAUGACGAGC
Venturia canescens is the source of this 467-nucleotide long non-coding RNA. RefSeq lists it as uncharacterized. Lineage: Eukaryota; Metazoa; Arthropoda; Insecta; Hymenoptera; Ichneumonidae. The transcript is spliced from 3 exons. The record is from RefSeq and is a predicted model, not a curated record.